UUAAGCCCCAGUCCCACUAGACCCCGAUCGUACCACGCUCAACGCGAUCUAAAUUUAAUUCAGAUCGUGGUGAGGUCGCGGUAUGAGCGGCAUGAAAAUGUAAAUUUUCGUUGUUUCACGAUGCUACUACGUCCUCAUUACGCUUCUACAACGAUCCCGCUACGAUUAUAACACGUUCUCACCGCGCUUAUUCUGCGACCUUACUACGCUUAUCAAGAUCUUUCUACGCUCAUCACGUUCUCACUUCGAUCAUACCACGAGUUAUCCGAUUGCAACACGAUCUUACCACGCUUCUACUGCGAUUAUAGCACGUUCUUACCACGAUUACAAGUUACGUUCAAACCGCGAUCUUACUACGCUCUCAGCAAUAACGUCAACAUCGUGUUCCAUAUCAAUAAAGUAUCAUUCCUUCAGUUCUAUUUCUGAUUAAUACGUAGAUUUCUCGAAAAAAAAAUACAGUCAUGCCACCAGUAUCUACUAGAACACGUGGGCGUGGUGUUAGGGUUGAUGUAGAGGCAGAUGGAGCUCUGUUAGUAACGAAUCUUGAUCAAGUAGAGAUGUCGGACCGACCAAUCCGACCUAAAUUACAACCUAUUGCUAAUAAUAAUAAUAAUAAUAAUAAUAUCUUUAUUUAGAGAGAGUAACUCAUUUGGAUUACACCAAUUUUCAAUAAGGCUCUCUUAAUACAAUAAUAAUUACAUAACAAAUAAACAAUGC
Molecule: long non-coding RNA, 717 nt
Filed under: Mytilus galloprovincialis (Mediterranean mussel)
Lineage: Eukaryota; Metazoa; Mollusca; Bivalvia; Mytilida; Mytilidae
Source: RNAcentral